Molecule: long non-coding RNA, 2224 nt
Filed under: Nicotiana tabacum (common tobacco)
Lineage: Eukaryota; Viridiplantae; Streptophyta; Magnoliopsida; Solanales; Solanaceae
Description: long non-coding RNA (NTAB_LNC006670)
Source: RNAcentral
GACAAAGGAAACGUGAUCAAGCCUAUUAUGCCACAAAAGAUUUACAUCAUACUUAUCAAACACAGUUGAAGAGUCAUUCUUAUUAUUGUGAAUGAAAGUAUUUAUAUUUGGUGAAUGAGUAUGUGAAUGAGCAGGACUUUUGAAGUCUCUGCUAUUUACACUAGCACAAGAAGAAUGAUUGCAACAAGAAACUAACACAUUAACAUUUGAAAUAGUACUUUUACCCUUUAGACACCUAGAACAUAGAUAGUAUAGUCCUUCCUUGUUACUACCAAUCACUGGAGGCUUUUUCACUGAAGGGACCUGCAACAGAUAUAGUGCAUCGGUAAAGAACACAAUACACCUAAGAUGCACUACAAGUGAAUGGACAGAAAUUAGGUUGUACUUGAAAGAUGGAACAUAUAGGACUUUGUGUAAGGUAAUUUCAGGACUGAGUAUCACAUCUCCAAGGUCAAGCACUUUUACCCUAUAUCCAUUUGGUAAACUUAUCAGUAGAGGAUAUGGUAGUGUUAUGAUAUUACUAAGUGCAGUUUUAUUAAAGGUCAUAUGGUUAGAUGCUCCUAAGUCUGUGAUCCAAAAGUCAGUUUUUAAUUCAAAUUAUUUGCAUGAUGGUUUGUCAAAAUCAAUAGUAGAAGUGCAGACUACAAUACCUGCAAAGUUGAUAGCACCAUUAGUGAUAUUCGCAUUACUGGGAGAUCCUUCUGUGUUGCUUGUCUAGAAAUGUUGCAGCAAAUUCAUUAUCUACCCAUAUUGUUCUUUUGCCAAGCUAAAAUUUUGAUUCUCAUCAUACUGGGUUGGAUUAUCUUCCUUCUCAUGGAGUAGAUCAGUUGGGACUCCAUGUACAUUUGGCACAACUCCUUUUCCUCUAUUGAACUAGUGAUUUUGAAUUUGACUUGAAUUGUUACCCUAAUCGAAUUGUUGAGUGCUAGUGCGAUUAAAGCUUUAAAUGUUGUAUGAAUUGUUUUGGGAAUAUCUAUUGUAGCUUAUAACACUUGUUCUUAGUGUGGCCUGGCCUUUUGCAAUAAUUACAUAAUGGUCGAGCCCUAUCAUUCGUAGUGUAAUGUGUUUUGAAAUUCCUAGGUUCGAGUGGAGUAUGAUGUUGUGAAGAUGUGGCAUUCACGUGUAGUGAAGUAGACUCGAGGUUUAGUUGAUUGUUUGGUCUGAAUUAUCUUUGCUUCUCCUCUUGUAUUAGCAGAUAGAAGGCAUGCGCUAAGGAUGACAGAGGUUUCAUCAUCAAAAUGCAUCCUCACACUAUUGUUAGACUUCAUUUAGGCCUAUAAAAACUAAAUGAGUUGUCGAUCAUGUUCUGCCUUAUGUAUAGUCUCCUUUGAUCCACACAUGCAAACACAACUAUACUGAGAUAUAGCACUCAAGGUGUUUGGUUCUUCCCACAAUCUGUUUCAUUCGUGCAUAGUAGGCAGUAAUGUCUAAGGAGCCCUGAACAAGGUUGUUGAUCUCUUUUUGGAUCUGAUGCAGCUUUGCCCUAUUUAUUUGAUCAUAUCGAUCUUCUAGUUCCCUCUAUAGCUCGACCGAAUCAUUGACAUACUCAACCCUGUCAGAAUUCUCCUUUGUGAGGGAAUUAAUGAUCCAGGAAGUUAUCAUAUCGUCGCAUCUCUCCGAUUGACAAAAACAAGGUUGAAUUAGGGGUAGGUUUCCUACAUUCCCCAUUUAUGAAACCUAAUUUGUUUUUGACUUAUAGGGCUCACAACACACUCCUUCUCCAUGACCUAUACCUAAUUCUGUCAAAUAGAACAGACAUUAGCAUUACUCCGGGACUAUCCAAAGGGUAAAUGUAUAAAGGAUUGCUCGCACCGAUAACUGGUUGGUCAUUUUUACUUGUAUUGGGUGUGAGUUCUUUGAUCUGAUCGAUAGCCAUGUAAGGAGAUCUAAUCGAUAAACUUGACGAAUGUAUCAACCGAUUUGGUGAGUAGACAGAUCAAUUUUGUAGAAAACUCUUCAAUUCAUAUGAAAAUUGCAGAUCGGAAUCAUAGAGUCAUACCUUUUAGUAGGUGACGGAGGAAAAGAGAUCUUGAGACACAAAAUUCCGGCAGAUUUCGAGCAAAUACGUUCUACCGGCUCUGAUACCAUAUCGAGAUUAUUACAAUGAAGAAGAGAUGAAGCUUGCUGAGAAGCUUAGAAGCUUCAAUGGUGAUUCUCGAGAGUUCUGAGAGAGGAAAAUAUCUGAGAGAACGGGGAGAGGAUGAAAUGAAUUGUAAAAUAAAAC